RNAcentral lists this ribosomal RNA (261 nucleotides) under uncultured bacterium. RNAcentral's name for it is "partial 16S ribosomal RNA". It matches the Rfam family "Bacterial small subunit ribosomal RNA", at positions 793 to 1055 of the family's 1533-position model. The record is from RNAcentral.
GUCCACGCAGUAAACGAUGAGUGCUAGUUGUCGGGACUUUGGGUCUCGGUGGCGAAGUUAACACGAUAAGCACUCCGCCUGGGGACUACGGUCGCAAGACUAAAACUCAAAGGAAUUGACGGGGACCCGCACAAGCAGUGGAGCAUGUGGUUUAAUUCGAUGCUACGCGAAAACCUUACCAACCCUUGAAUCCCAUUGACCGCUACAGAGAUGUAGUUUUGGAGCAAUCCACAGUGGAGACAGGUGUUGCAUGGCUGUCGU